GAUGAACGCUAGCGGCAGGCUUAACACAUGCAAGUCGAGGGGCAGCAUGAGACGGAGAUUCGUCGAAGUCUUGAUGGCGACCGGCGCAAGGGUGCGUAACGCGUGAGCAACUUGCCCGUUUCAGGGGCAUAACCGGUGGAAACGCCGACUAAUUCCCCAUAGUAUCAUCGAGAGGCAUCUUUUGAUGAUUAAAGAAUUUCGGAAACGGAUAGGCUCGCGUGACAUUAGCUAGAUGGCGGGGUAACGGCCCACCAUGGCGACGAUGUCUAGGGGUUCUGAGAGGAAGGUCCCCCCACACUGGAACUGAGACACGGUCCAGACUCCUACGGGAGGCAGCAGUGAGGAAUAUUGGUCAAUGGUCUGACGACUGAACCAGCCAUGCCGCGUGAAGGUCACGGCCCUAUGGGUCUUAAACUUCUUUUGCAAGGGAGCAAUAAGGUCUACGUGUAGAUCGAUGAGAGUACCUUGCGAAUAAGCAUCGGCUAACUCCG
This 491-nucleotide ribosomal RNA is filed under the name uncultured bacterium. RNAcentral's name for it is "bacterial SSU rRNA". It matches the Rfam family "Bacterial small subunit ribosomal RNA", at positions 28 to 505 of the family's 1533-position model. The record is from RNAcentral.